CGCGUAAUGGCAACGGUCGGCCUGACGGC
This 29-nucleotide small RNA is filed under the name Bombyx mori (domestic silkworm). RNAcentral describes it as "ovarian small RNA-4898". The record is from RNAcentral. Lineage: Eukaryota; Metazoa; Arthropoda; Insecta; Lepidoptera; Bombycidae.